This 484-nucleotide ribosomal RNA is filed under the name uncultured bacterium. RNAcentral describes it as "partial 16S ribosomal RNA". It matches the Rfam family "Bacterial small subunit ribosomal RNA", at positions 29 to 507 of the family's 1533-position model. The record is from RNAcentral.
AUUGAACGCUGGCGGCAUGCUUUACACAUGCAAGUCGAACGGCAGCGCGGGCUUCGGCCUGGCGGCGAGUGGCGAACGGGUGAGUAAUACAUCGGAACGUGCCCAGUAGUGGGGGAUAGCUCGGCGAAAGCCGGAUUAAUACCGCAUACGACCUGAGGGUGAAAGCGGGGGAUCUUCGGACCUCGCGCUAUUGGAGCGGCCGAUGGCAGAUUAGCUAGUUGGUGGGGUAAAGGCCUACCAAGGCGACGAUCUGUAGCUGGUCUGAGAGGACGACCAGCCACACUGGGACUGAGACACGGCCCAGACUCCUACGGGAGGCAGCAGUGGGGAAUUUUGGACAAUGGGCGAAAGCCUGAUCCAGCAAUGCCGCGUGAGUGAUGAAGGCCUUCGGGUUGUAAAGCACUUUUGGCGGGAACGAAAAGGACUGUGCCAAUACCACGGUUCGAUGACGGUACCCGCAGAAUAAGCACCGGCUAACUACGUG